GACGUAGGGCGCGAGCGUUGUCCGGAUUUAUUGGGCGUAAAGAGCUCGUAGGCGGCUUGUCGCGUCGACUGUGAAAACUUGGGGCUCAACCAUGUGGUCUGCAGUCGAUACGGGCAGGCUAGAAUUCGGUAGGGGAGACUGGAAUUCCUGGUGUAGCGGUGAAAUGCGCAGAUAUCAGGAGGAACACCGGUGGCGAAGGCGGGUCUCUGGGCCGAUAUUGACGCUGAGGAGCGAAAGCGUGGGGAGCGAACAGG
RNAcentral lists this ribosomal RNA (254 nucleotides) under uncultured bacterium. RNAcentral describes it as "partial 16S ribosomal RNA". It matches the Rfam family "Bacterial small subunit ribosomal RNA", at positions 524 to 776 of the family's 1533-position model. The record is from RNAcentral.